UAACGGCGAGUGAAGCGGCAAGAGCUCAGAUUUGAAAUCUGGCGCUUCGGCGUCCGAGUUGUAAUCUGUAGAGGAUGCUAUUGGGUAGCCACCGGUCUAAGUCCCCUGGAACGGGGCGUCGCAGAGGGUGAGAAUCCCGUAUGUGACCGGAAGGGCGCCCUCCACAUAGCUCCUUCGACGAGUCGAGUUGUUUGGGAAUGCAGCUCUAAAUGGGAGGUAAAUUCCUUCUAAAGCUAAAUACCGGCCAGAGACCGAUAGCGCACAAGUAGAGUGAUCGAAAGAUGAAAAGCACUUUGGAAAGAGAGUUAAAAAGCACGUGAAAUUGUUGAAAGGGAAGCGCUUGCAACCAGACUUGUUGGCGGUGUUCCGCCGGUCUUCUGACCGGUGUACUCACCGUCUGCAGGCCAGCAUCAUCUGGGGCCGCCGGAUAAAAGCGGGGGGAAUGUGGCUCCCUCGGGAGUGUUAUAGCCCCUCGUGCAAUACGGCGUGCCUCGGGUGAGGUCCGCGCUUCGGCUAGGAUGCUGGCGUAAUGGUCGUAAGCGGCCCGUCUUGAAACACGGACCAAGGAGUCUAACAUCUAUGCGAGUGUUCGGGUGUCAAACCCCUACGCGUAAUGAAAGUGAACGGAGGUGGGAGCCUUAGGGUGCACCAUCGACCGAUCCUGAUGUCUUCGGAUGGAUUUGAGUAAGAGCAUAGCUGUUGGGACCCGAAAGAUGGUGAACUAUGCCUGGAUAGGGUGAAGCCAGAGGAAACUCUGGUGGAGGC
Molecule: ribosomal RNA, 765 nt
Filed under: Chaetocapnodium philippinense
Lineage: Eukaryota; Fungi; Ascomycota; Dothideomycetes; Capnodiales; Capnodiaceae
Description: partial 28S ribosomal RNA
Rfam family: Eukaryotic large subunit ribosomal RNA
Source: RNAcentral